ACAGCUACAGUGACUUGGAACAAACACAGCUGAGACUAACCCUGGGAGCUGAGACUUUGCUUUUCCCUGUACACUCUGAGAAGCUACCAUCUGAUCAGAAGAGAUAUCACUGUUGCAGUGAAUAAAGUCAGCAUCUAAUCUUCCUGUUUUCACAGCAGCACCAUAUGGCAGUGACAGCACCUUCUGCAAGAAGAGAAACUCUAAACCAAUUACAACAAUAUCAUUUCUGUGUUGAACCAUAAGUCAUUGGAAACCCACUGCAACCAUGCUUCCAUAAUAGCAGCUGGAAUCUCCAAUUCUACAGAGAAAAGGAAUGUUGAAGUAACAUACAUGUAGCUUUGAGGAGGAGGCACGUGCAUUCAAGCUCAUGGAGAGGAUUGACAGCCACAGACAGGCACUCAUAAGAACUGAAUGUAAAUCAUCAAAGAGAAUAUACUCAGGAGGCACUGUCUACCAUAGGUAAGCAUUGCAAUUUUUAUUUAAUAUGGGAAAAACAUAAGAACGAAGCCUGACAGAUACAGUCUUAACCAAGUGAUCAAAGUUAAAAUCACCAGAGAUAAAUCACAUUAAUAUCAUCUGUCCUCUGACAUGAUGCAAUGAGAAAAAUGCUUCACCUUGUGGGGUUCUUUGGAAAAAUUCAUAACCUCAGUGUAAUCAUAAGAAAAUGUGAGGCAAAUGCAAAAUGAAGGCCAUUCUACAAAAUGCCUAACCAGAACUCUUGAAAUCUCACUGUCACACAAUGUGACUUUAACAGAGAAGUAUUGUUUCUAAGGGUGAAUGAGCAAAUUUGAAACAUGGUGAGGAAGGAAUGGAGAUGGCAGAUUCUUUUAGUAAGGGAAUGAAGAAAUUGUUAGAAUUAUUAAAAAUUGUAACAAAAAUAUCACCAAUCUUUGUAACACCACAUAAGAAGGAUUCUGAGCCAGGAAAAUGACUGUUCUCAAAAUAUAUUCUCCCAAUAUACC
RNAcentral lists this long non-coding RNA (962 nucleotides) under Homo sapiens (human). RNAcentral's name for it is "non-protein coding lnc-UCHL5-108:6". The record is from RNAcentral. Lineage: Eukaryota; Metazoa; Chordata; Mammalia; Primates; Hominidae.